AACCCUCAUAUUCAAUUUGAUUUUUUUUAGAAUGCAACUCUAACCCCCUUUCUCCUCUCCUCUAUCCUUUCUCCUCUCCUUUUCUGUGAAGGAAUCCUCUGGUCUUAUCCGUCGUCGGUAGUACCUCCAAGCAUCCCAAACGACGACGGCGCGUCUCCAAUUCUCCAUCAGAGAAAGCGGAGAAGGCAUGGAAGUAUUGGCAUCCCUCUGGUCAAAGAAAACCUCCACAGUUCCCGCAAAUUUCACUUCUUGUUCUUGUUGUUCUCCCUGAUUAGGAGCGUUUUUUCUGUAGAAUCCAAGGAGUGUGGCCAUGUGAGGCAUGAGGGUUCUCCUCUCCAUAAGGUACUUCUUGAUGAAGAACCUGAGCAGCCCAGCGUACCCCCGCGGCAGCAUCAUUAACUCGGCAAAGGAUUCGGCGAGGAGAGCGACGGUGGUGUCAGUCUCGUCGGGGCGCAUCACACGGACCCACAUGGAGCCAGAUUUGAGGUCCUCCGAGUAGACGAAGGAUUCCAUGAAGUGGAGGCAGUUGAGCUCGUCGUUGGUGAGGAAACGACCUGUGCGGAAGGGGUCGUCUAGGUACAGAGAGGAGAUUGGCGGCGGUGGUGGUGGUGGUGAUGUUGUUGAGGAGUGAGAAUGGAAGGUGGCUAGACCAGCGGCGAUGAGGUGGCUGUUCUUGAAGGUGGUGCUUCAGAGGCUGCAGUGAUGACCUUAAAGAAGAAUGAGAAGAUGGAGUCACGAGGGAUAACAAUGAAGCCUAGUGAUUUACAUUAGGGUUAAUGUUGGAAUUAUUGAAUUAGAAUGGGAAUAAUUUAGGUACAAAUUAUAAUUAAAAUUUCUGUCCCCGUCUUUAAAAUUUUCUAUCUUCAGUGUCCCUACUAUUUGGAGGUACUGAAAUACUGAAAUUUUGAAGACGGAGACAAAAAUUUAAGUACUAGUCUCUAGCUCAACAAACAUAAUACUGAGUCUC
This is a non-coding RNA of Arachis ipaensis, 967 nucleotides long. The record is from RefSeq and is a predicted model, not a curated record. Lineage: Eukaryota; Viridiplantae; Streptophyta; Magnoliopsida; Fabales; Fabaceae.